This 1398-nucleotide ribosomal RNA is filed under the name Sphingobacterium sp. W2. Its description in RNAcentral is "bacterial SSU rRNA". It matches the Rfam family "Bacterial small subunit ribosomal RNA". The record is from RNAcentral. Lineage: Bacteria; Pseudomonadati; Bacteroidota; Sphingobacteriia; Sphingobacteriales; Sphingobacteriaceae.
UGCAAGUCGGACGGGAUCCAUCGGUGAGUUUGCUCGAAGAUGGUGAGAGUGGCGCACGGGUGCGUAACGCGUGAGCAACCUACCUUUAUCAGGGGGAUAGCCUCUCGAAAGAGAGAUUAACCCCGCAUAACAUCAACCGUUCGCAUGUUCAGUUGAUUAAAUAUUUAUAGGAUAGAGAUGGGCUCGCGUGACAUUAGCUAGUUGGUAGGGUAACGGCUUACCAAGGCGACGAUGUCUAGGGGCUCUGAGAGGAGAAUCCCCCACACUGGUACUGAGACACGGACCAGACUCCUACGGGAGGCAGCAGUAAGGAAUAUUGGUCAAUGGGCGGAAGCCUGAACCAGCCAUGCCGCGUGCAGGAUGACUGCCCUAUGGGUUGUAAACUGCUUUUGUCCAGGAAUAAACCUCUUUACGAGUAGAGAGCUGAAUGUACUGGAAGAAUAAGGAUCGGCUAACUCCGUGCCAGCAGCCGCGGUAAUACGGAGGAUCCGAGCGUUAUCCGGAUUUAUUGGGUUUAAAGGGUGGGUAGGCGGCCUAUUAAGUCAGGGGUGAAAUACGGUGGCUCAACCAUCGCAGUGCCUUUGAUACUGAUGGGCUUGAAUCCAUUUGAAGUGGGCGGAAUAAGACAAGUAGCGGUGAAAUGCAUAGAUAUGUCUUAGAACUCCGAUUGCGAAGGCAGCUCACUUAGCUGGUAUUGACGCUGAUGCACGAAAGCGUGGGGAUCGAACAGGAUUAGAUACCCUGGUAGUCCACGCCCUAAACGAUGAUAACUCGAUGUUGGCGAUAGACAGCCAGCGUCCAAGCGAAAGCGUUAAGUUAUCCACCUGGGGAGUACGCCCGCAAGGGUGAAACUCAAAGGAAUUGACGGGGGCCCGCACAAGCGGAGGAGCAUGUGGUUUAAUUCGAUGAUACGCGAGGAACCUUACCCGGGCUUGAAAGUUAGUGAAGAGUGCAGAGACGCACUCGUCCUUCGGGACACGAAACUAGGUGCUGCAUGGCUGUCGUCAGCUCGUGCCGUGAGGUGUUGGGUUAAGUCCCGCAACGAGCGCAACCCCUAUGUUUAGUUGCCAGCAUGUAAUGGUGGGGACUCUAAACAGACUGCCUGUGCAAACAGAGAGGAAGGUGGGGACGACGUCAAGUCAUCAUGGCCCUUACGUCCGGGGCUACACACGUGCUACAAUGGAUGGUACAGCGGGCAGCUACAUAGCAAUAUGAUGCUAAUCUCUAAAAGCCAUUCACAGUUCGGAUUGGGGUCUGCCACUCGACCCCAUGAAGUUGGAUUCGCUAGUAAUCGCGUAUCAGCAAUGACGCGGUGAAUACGUUCCCGGGCCUUGUACACACCGCCCGUCAAGCCAUGAAAGUUGGGGGUACCUAAAGCAUGUACCGCAAGGAGCGUGU